GGCUAGAAUUCUAUAUCCCGUGUUUAAGGGAAAGUAAUUACCAUGUAGUCUCACAUACUGCAUUCGGUGCAAUUGCUAUGUAUUUGGUUGAGAAAAUGAUCUUUAGAAGAAAGAGAUUCGUAAGUUGAGAGAGGUGCACACGUUCAGAUUCACGGAGGACGCAACACUCGCACGUAUGAAGAGAAAGUAGGAAAAAAGACAAAUAAGUACAUGUCAGCAGACAAAGGUUAUACGUAUUUUGUCAUGUUUCACAAGUCGAGGCUAGACAAGUCUAAACGUAUCUUAUUGUAGUGGAUCAAUAAAGGCUCAAACAGACAACCUGCGUUUGUUAAGAUAUUGGACGCUAC
Lingula anatina is the source of this 347-nucleotide long non-coding RNA. The record is from RefSeq and is a predicted model, not a curated record. NCBI's taxonomy places the organism in Eukaryota, Metazoa, Brachiopoda, Lingulata, Lingulida, Lingulidae.